CCUUGAUGGUGCUUAUAAUCCUGUUCAUAACACUUCAUGACUGACAGCUGUCUGUACUUCACAGCGACAGACACCAACACAGCUAUGGCGUCUAUCAGCAUCUUCAUUGUGGUCUUUGCCUUUUUCUCUCAAGAAUCCAGUGGCCAGGUCACUGUGACUCAGACCCCUGCAGUAAAGGCUGUUCUCCAAGGACAGACUGUCACUAUGAGCUGUAAAGUCAGUCCGGCUGUGUAUAACAAUAAUAUCUUAGCCUGGUACCAACAGAAACCUGGAGAAGCUCUUAAACUCUUGAUCUAUUAUGCAAGUACCCUUAACUCUGGGAUUCCAUCUCGAUUCAGUGGCAGUGGAUCUAGUACUGACUUCACUCUGACCAUCAGUGGAGUCCAGGCUGAAGAUGCAGGAGAUUAUUACUGUCAGAGUUACCAUAGUGGUGGGGUGUUCACACAGUGAUACAGAGCCGUACAAAAACCUUCC
Molecule: non-coding RNA, 474 nt
Organism: Paramormyrops kingsleyae
Lineage: Eukaryota; Metazoa; Chordata; Actinopteri; Osteoglossiformes; Mormyridae
Source: the annotation of a RefSeq genome assembly